GAUGAACGCUGGCGGCGUGCCUAAUACAUGCAAGUCGAGCGAACAGACGAGGAGCUUGCUCCUCUGACGUUAGCGGCGGACGGGUGAGUAACACGUGGAUAACCUACCUAUAAGACUGGGAUAACUUCGGGAAACCGGAGCUAAUACCGGAUAAUAUAUUGAACCGCAUGGUGCAAUAGUGAAAGACGGUUUUGCUGUCACUUAUAGAUGGAUCCGCGCCGCAUUAGCUAGUUGGUAAGGUAACGGCUUACCAAGGCAACGAUGCGUAGCCGACCUGAGAGGGUGAUCGGCCACACUGGAACUGAGACACGGUCCAGACUCCUACGGGAGGCAGCAGUAGGGAAUCUUCCGCAAUGGGCGAAAGCCUGACGGAGCAACGCCGCGUGAGUGAUGAAGGUCUUCGGAUCGUAAAACUCUGUUAUUAGGGAAGAACAAAUGUGUAAGUAACUAUGCACGUCUUGACGGUACCUAAUCAGAAAGCCAUGGCUAACUACGUG
Molecule: ribosomal RNA, 497 nt
Filed under: uncultured bacterium
Lineage: Bacteria
Description: partial 16S ribosomal RNA
Rfam family: Bacterial small subunit ribosomal RNA
Source: RNAcentral